GAAAAAGUAUAUUUUCCUACAUGAUCCGUUAACUCAAACUUCUAAUUUACAAUUCUAAAACUAAAUACAACCAUGUUUUCAGUUCAUACUGCCCUUAAUGCAAUGACUCAAACCAGGGGCGUAGGAAGCGUAAGGUUGGAGGCUAGCCCCCCUUCACUUGUUGAACAAGGUGUGGGGGUGGGGGAAUAGGUUUUGGCCUGCCAAAACAUAUCUGAAUUUACCGUUUACUUGGUU
Non-coding RNA from Paramuricea clavata, 234 nucleotides. The record is from the annotation of a GenBank genome assembly. Lineage: Eukaryota; Metazoa; Cnidaria; Anthozoa; Malacalcyonacea; Plexauridae.